RNAcentral lists this ribosomal RNA (465 nucleotides) under uncultured bacterium. RNAcentral's name for it is "partial 16S ribosomal RNA". It matches the Rfam family "Bacterial small subunit ribosomal RNA", at positions 28 to 506 of the family's 1533-position model. The record is from RNAcentral.
GACGAACGCUGGCGGCGCGCCUAACACAUGCAAGUCGAACGAGCGAGAGAGAGCUUGCUUUCUCGAGCGAGUGGCGAACGGGUGAGUAACGCGUGAGGAACCUGCCUCAAAGAGGGGGACAACAGUUGGAAACGACUGCUAAUACCGCAUAAGCCCACGGCUCGGCAUCGAGCAGGGGGAAAAGGAGCAAUCCGCUUUGAGAUGGCCUCGCGUCCGAUUAGCUAGUUGGUGGGGUAACGGCCCACCAAGGCGACGAUCGGUAGCCGGACUGAGAGGUUGAACGGCCACAUUGGGACUGAGACACGGCCCAGACUCCUACGGGAGGCAGCAGUGGGGAAUAUUGCACAAUGGGGGAAACCCUGAUGCAGCGACGCCGCGUGGAGGAAGAAGGUCUUCGGAUUGUAAACUCCUGUUGUUGGGGAAGAUAAUGACGGUACCCAACAAGGAAGUGACGGCUAACUACGU